GGGAUCUUCCCGGACCGGGGCACGAACCCGUGUCCCCUGCAUGGGCAGGCGGACUCUCAACCACUGCGCCACCAGGGAGGCCCUGGCAUCCUGUAUUUUUACUUGCUUAAUCUGGCAACCCCACCGUCUACUCCACACUUUUAAGACUCCUCAGGCCAAGCACGAAGAUGCCCCGAGGUCCAGUUCGGUUCACUUAGUGUAUCUCUGCUGGCAUUCGGGUGAGGAUGGAGGUGCAGGUGGGUAAGGGGUGCGAAUUGGAGAAAGUAGUAAACAGAAUUAUUCAACGCAGUUUGGGAGUGGGUAGAAAAUGUUAGAACUUCACUGAGCUUAUGAAUGUAUCCUAGCUGAAAUUGUACAGAUACUGCAAUGAAGAAUUUGUAGCUUUAACCCUUGUUAAACAUUCUGUAAGUACUAUGAGUUUCACCAGUUUUUCCUGCAGUGAUGUUCACCAGGUGUUCAAGAGCGUAUCUGAGGUAGUUCUGAUCCUAAUUUCUGGGGCACAUCAGAAGUUAAACCUCCUGUGCUUCUGGAAAGAGCUGGUUCCACUCCCAGUUGUGGAAGGGAAAUGACUUGGGGUAUUGACAGGCCGGGGUGCGGGUAGAGGUGGAGAUUCAGUCUCCUGUUCCCUGGAGAACUAACUGGGGUCCUCCCGUUGUGUACGGGUAAUUAGGAUGAUGCAAAGCAGCAGUUCUUAACGAGCGUCUCAAGAGGCAGGAGCUCAUAACUGCACACGGGCUCUGCCCCGACCUGGGAAGCUGGUCUUCCAGCAGGACUGGUUACACCACCAGCACACCACGCCUGCAGGAACCCUCAGGUCACUGCUGGUGUGCGGUUGGUAAAAUAAAAAAAGAGGUAAGAGUUCUUACCUGUUUAAUUAAGCAGGCGCAGAGUUCAUCGAGGGUUGGGGCAGUGUGGGGUGGUAGACUUAUAGAAAAGGGUUGAUGAGAAUGACAGGAAAGUAAGAAGAGAGGAGGUGCUGUGGUUUGAAGGUAUGGCUGCAGCAGUGAAGUUAAAAAUUAGGUAUUUAUUUUGUUCCACUCAACCCAGGCAAGAUAUCCCUGGUUAGAGGUUCAAGGGCACCCAGAUCCAUGAGGAGAGACAGCAGCUAAAUGUCUACGGACAGUGACAAACAACCUUCGAGAUGCCACCAGGACGCAGACUUCACAUUGAAGAAGAGGCAUUUUAUUGGCAGUCAUUCUUUUCUUUGUUAUAUUAACAGCGUGAAGCAGUGAUUUCAAAACAGUAAAAGCCGGCUUCUCCCCAGACUGUGGUAUCAGAGGGCUAUCAGAGAGCAGCAGGUAAGAGAAAUCUCAACCACUGAGUUUGAAGGAGACAAUCUGUACCACUAGUCCAGCUCUUGCAACCAGCAGACUCUCAUCCACCUGAUCAGCCGAGGAGCACACAACAGAAAACCUAAGAAUCAUGCCAAGGACAAGACCAGCGAGGGUUAGCAGCGCUGCAGACCUCGACAGACGCAGGGGCCCUGGGAGAACGUGGCUUUCUCCAAAGGGCUGCCCCCACUAUCUAUCUCUUCUCAACCUAUUCCGGGUCCAGAAAGCUGCCUGCUUGGGUGGGAAUCCAUCUAGCUAGGAGAGCGCUGCUUCCCACUCCUUUGGGAAACUACAAACCCUUCCGGUCUGUCCUGCUCCCUGGUGACGCAGAGGCGGGGGCAGCAGGCACUACACAGCUGGUCUACAUGCUUCGGCAGAGGCUUACUUGCCUAAGUGCUUGCAUCGUGACAGCAGCCCGUCUGCUGGGCUGGCCUAGGCUGCGUCUCCUUGGAAGACAGUGCGGAUGGCAGACAGGAGGCUCGGCCUGACCCAGUCCUUCAGACAUUCCUACCCCUGCAUCUCAUCCCCAGUCUGAAUGGCGGUAUUUAGGGAAAAACUGCCCCAGGGCCGGCGGACAGGCCCACAGGAGUUACACCUUCUAGUACUGACGAGUGCAAGGGAUUCCAGCCACAAUUUCCGAUUCGAUUCCACAGUGAUCCUCUCCUCUGAGGAUUUUAAAGAAGCCUAGAGAGCAGAAGACGCCUUUAGAGAGUGCUUGGCUUUUGCCGACAUAUCCAGACCCACCCCUGAAAAACGGGGAAACGGAAGUCACAAACCAGCCCCAAAGCUGUCACCAGCCGGCCCACAAGGUGCUCUGCCGGUUUCCGUUCAGCUCGCAUCCAGCCCCUGCACCUGGUGCUGUGGGGACCCAGGCCCAGCACACACCCUCCCGGGAUCAGAGGCUGCCCUCGUGGAAGCCCCGGCUCCCCGGCACCUGCACAGCUGGCGGAGCAGGACAGGACGCCUGCUGUGCCCUGCUCAGGGGGCCCUGCUCUCAGCAGGAAGGGGCUGCGCUCACCAUUGUCACCCCAGUCGGUGUUCCAGGAGUUGCCGACCAGCCAGUAGGGGGUGCCAUUCUCCACUCCCCAGCCCAGGAUGCGGAUGGCGUGGCCUCCCAUCAUCUCUCCUGUGACGUGCUGGUACACCCCUGGGAAAGGAGACAGCGGUCAGGCCGGGCAGCCACCCCAUCUGCCACAGCACCCCUCCAGCUCACUGGUCACCCCGGGCAGGACGGACGGGGCCAGAGGAAAGGACCGGCCCUGGCGUUCCACAAGAAGGCUCCAGGGGUUCCCACAACAUUUUGGAAUGAAAGCCUAACACACUAUAGGAGGUAAAUAUUAAGAUGGAGGCCAAUCAAAUGUGUUCAUUGGUUCCCUUUAAAACUAAAGUUGUAAAUUUUAAUAAAAAUACCAACAGAUAUCUGUG
Molecule: long non-coding RNA, 2756 nt
Organism: Aethalodelphis obliquidens (Pacific white-sided dolphin)
Lineage: Eukaryota; Metazoa; Chordata; Mammalia; Artiodactyla; Delphinidae
Exons: 2
Source: RefSeq, a predicted model, not a curated record